UGUUAUCAGUCCAUACAAUGGGCGUUAUUAGCAGAAAUCAGUCCCAUAGAUAUGGGCCAUCCACCUGCUAGAUUGUUCAGAAGCUUGUUAUCAUCCAUCCAGAUGGAGGAUCAGUAACAGGAGCGUGGGAAGACUCCAGAAUCCACUCUGGCUGGAAUCCGGUGGAUACAGCAGUGUUACAGGUACAGUACGUGAUGUUAAGGGCAGGCGGUCAUCACCGGGGGAAGAAAAGAAGCAGACGUACUUCCAAGAGGGAGCUGCAGUGAGGACACAGCCUGGUCACUGAGGAGGCGCUGGAAGGUUUCCCUAAUAGUUCCUGGUGAAUCAAAGCAGAACCAUAAAGGUUGCUGGACUGCAUGAUGGCCUUACCCCUGAGCAGUCAUCCUGUUAAAGGAGGAACCAGUUAGAAGCUGUUUUCAAAGUAGCUGAGCAGAUUUCAUCUGAAGGAGCAGCAUAGUAUUCAAUAGGAGGACCCUGCACGUCAAUUCUCGACGCGAGGGGGGUACCCUGCGAGUCGAUAAGUGAAGCAGAGGGAGCCUGACCAUGCGUCACACAUUUGACGAGUUGGGAGUGAGAACGUGUUGGAUAAACC
Long non-coding RNA from Oreochromis aureus, 592 nucleotides. The record is from Ensembl. NCBI's taxonomy places the organism in Eukaryota, Metazoa, Chordata, Actinopteri, Cichliformes, Cichlidae.